This 600-nucleotide ribosomal RNA is filed under the name uncultured archaeon. RNAcentral describes it as "bacterial SSU rRNA". It matches the Rfam family "Archaeal small subunit ribosomal RNA", at positions 83 to 684 of the family's 1478-position model. The record is from RNAcentral.
GUACUGCUCAGUAACACGUGGAUAAUCUGCCCUAAGGUCAGGCAUAACUCCGGGAAACUGGUGAUAAUACCUGAUAAAUCAUAGAUACUGGAAUGUUCUGUGAUUCAAAGUUCCGGCGCCUUAGGAUGAAUCUGCGGUCUAUCAGGUAGUAGUGGGUGUAACGUACCUACUAGCCAACGACGGAUACGGGUUGUGAGAGCAAGAGCCCGGAGAUGGAUUCUGAGACAUGAAUCCAGGCCCUACGGGGCGCAGCAGGCGCGAAAUCUUUACAAUGCGGGGAACCGCGAUAAGGGGAUACUGAGUGCCAGCAUAUUAUGUUGGCUGUCCACCUGUAUAAACAGCAGGUGUUAGCAAGGGCCGGGCAAGACCGGUGCCAGCCGCCGCGGUAACACCGGCGGCCCGAGUGGUGGCCACUAUUAUUGGGUCUAAAGGGUCCGUAGCCUGUUCGAUCAGUCUUCCGGGAAAUCUGACAGCUCAACUGUUAGGCUUCCGGGGGAUACUGUCGGACUUGGGACCGGGAGAGGUAAGAGGUACUACAGGGGUAGGAGUGAAAUCUUGUAAUCCUUGUGGGACCACCAGUGGCGAAGGCGUCUUACCAGA